This 605-nucleotide unclassified non-coding RNA is filed under the name Heterotis prostrata. RNAcentral describes it as "partial external transcribed spacer; ETS". Lineage: Eukaryota; Viridiplantae; Streptophyta; Magnoliopsida; Myrtales; Melastomataceae. The record is from RNAcentral.
GACUACUGGCAGGAUCAACCAGGUAGCAUUCAUUUCUAGACCUCUGUGCAUCCCAAGGACGACCGCGGAACGGGGGGGCUCCGUGAGCACCGAGGAAAGCACGAGGGUCACCCGAGCGGAAGCAAAGCUUCGUCGCGACGUGACCGCGCGGCCAACGAAGGACCGCGCGACGAGAAGAGGGGUCACCAUACCCGAGAGCACGCGGACGGCAUCGACGCACCGACGCGAGCGCAAACGCCCAAGAGUUGGACGACCGCACGGACGGAAAGCGCCGAUGCCCGCACGAUAUCACCCGACGCACGGGAUGCGGGGGAGAAACAAGGAACCGAGACAGGGACGACAAUGAAUCCACGUACCGCAAUCGGGUAUCUAGCGCAGGAACCCAACCAACGCCCGCCACCGAACCUCGGGGCGAGCGAUCGAAUGAAGCGGAUGGUACCGGAGCAGUUCGGUGCCCGAAGCACGGAGCCUGCUAGGGAACACAUCCUGGAAGCCACUCAUGCGUCGUCCCAACGCUGCCCGAAGAGAACGUCCGACGACCCGACGCCGCCACCCGGAGGAGGAGGGGCCGGACGAACGAGACGCGCCCCGGACAAGCCUGCUAG